Molecule: ribosomal RNA, 495 nt
Filed under: uncultured bacterium
Lineage: Bacteria
Description: partial 16S ribosomal RNA
Rfam family: Bacterial small subunit ribosomal RNA
Source: RNAcentral
GACGAACGCUGGCGGCGUGCCUAAUACAUGCAAGUAGAACGCUGAAGGAGGAGCUUGCUUCUCUGGAUGAGUUGCGAACGGGUGAGUAACGCGUAGGUAACCUGCCUGGUAGCGGGGGAUAACUAUUGGAAACGAUAGCUAAUACCGCAUAAGAGUAGAUGUUGCAUGACAUUUGCUUAAAAGGUGCAAUUGCAUCACUACCAGAUGGACCUGCGUUGUAUUAGCUAGUUGGUGGGGUAACGGCUUACCAAGGCGACGAUACAUAGUCGACCUGAGAGGGUGAUCGGCCACACUGGGACUGAGACACGGCCCAGACUCCUACGGGAGGCAGCAGUAGGGAAUCUUCGGCAAUGGACGGAAGUCUGACCGAGCAACGCCGCGUGAGUGAAGAAGGUUUUCGGAUCGUAAAGCUCUGUUGUAAGAGAAGAACGAGUGUGAGAGUGGAAAGUUCACACUGUGACGGUAUCUUACCAGAAAGGGACGGCUAACUACGUG